UGGGGAAUUUUGGACAAUGGGCGAAAGCCUGAUCCAGCCAUGCCGCGUGAGUGAAGAAGGCCUUCGGGUUGUAAAGCUCUUUUAGUCGGAAAGAAAGAGUUGCAAUGAAUAAUUGUGAUUUAUGACGGUACCGACAGAAAAAGCACCGGCUAACUACGUGCCAGCAGCCGCGGUAAUACGUAGGGUGCGAGCGUUAAUCGGAAUUACUGGGCGUAAAGGGGGCGCAGGCGGUACAGCAAGUCAGAAGUGAAAGCCCCGGGCUUAACCUGGGAAUUGCGUUUGAAACUACAAGGCUAGAGUGCAGCAGAGGGGAGUGGAAUUCCAUGUGUAGCAGUGAAAUGCGUAGAGAUGUGGAAGAACACCGAUGGCGAAGGCAGCUCCCUGGGUUGACACUGACGCUCAUGCACGAAAGCGUGGGGAGCAAACA
This 427-nucleotide ribosomal RNA is filed under the name uncultured beta proteobacterium. Its description in RNAcentral is "bacterial SSU rRNA". It matches the Rfam family "Bacterial small subunit ribosomal RNA", at positions 355 to 774 of the family's 1533-position model. Lineage: Bacteria; Pseudomonadati; Pseudomonadota; Betaproteobacteria. The record is from RNAcentral.